UGAUCCCCAGCUUGCUGGGGGGAUUAGUGGCGAACGGGUGAGUAACACGUGAGUAACCUGCCCUUGACUCUGGGAUAAGCCUGGGAAACUGGGUCUAAUACUGGAUACGACCUUUCACCGCAUGGUGGGGGGUGGAAAGCUUUUGUGGUUUUGGAUGGACUCGCGGCCUAUCAGCUUGUUGGUGGGGUAAUGGCCUACCAAGGCGACGACGGGUAGCCGGCCUGAGAGGGUGGACGGCCACACUGGGACUGAGACACGGCCCAGACUCCUACGGGAGGCAGCAGUGGGGAAUAUUGCACAAUGGGCGCAAGCCUGAUGCAGCGACGCCGCGUGAGGGAUGAAGGCCUUCGGGUUGUAAACCUCUUUCAGUAGGGAAGAAGCGAAAGUGACGGUACCUGCAGAAGAAGCGCCGGCUAACUACGUGCCAGCAGCCGCGGUAAUACGUAGGGCGCAAGCGUUAUCCGGAAUUAUUGGGCGUAAAGAGCUCGUAGGCGGUUUGUCGCGUCUGCCGUGAAAGUCCGGGGCUUAACUCCGGAUCUGCGGUGGGUACGGGCAGACUUGAGUGAUGUAGGGGAGACUGGAAUUCCUGGUGUAGCGGUGAAAUGCGCAGAUAUCAGGAGGAACACCGAUGGCGAAGGCAGGUCUCUGGGCAUUAACUGACGCUGAGGAGCGAAAGCAUGGGGAGCGAACA
RNAcentral lists this ribosomal RNA (691 nucleotides) under bacterium. RNAcentral describes it as "bacterial SSU rRNA". It matches the Rfam family "Bacterial small subunit ribosomal RNA", at positions 70 to 774 of the family's 1533-position model. The record is from RNAcentral.